AUUGAACGCUGGCGGCAGGCCUAACACAUGCAAGUCGAGCGGAUGAGAGGAGCUUGCUCCUCGAUUCAGCGGCGGACGGGUGAGUAAUGCCUAGGAAUCUGCCUAGUAGUGGGGGACAACGUUUCGAAAGGAACGCUAAUACCGCAUACGUCCUACGGGAGAAAGUGGGGGAUCUUCGGACCUCACGCUAUUAGAUGAGCCUAGGUCGGAUUAGCUAGUUGGUAGGGUAAAGGCCUACCAAGGCGACGAUCCGUAACUGGUCUGAGAGGAUGAUCAGUCACACUGGAACUGAGACACGGUCCAGACUCCUACGGGAGGCAGCAGUGGGGAAUAUUGGACAAUGGGCGAAAGCCUGAUCCAGCCAUGCCGCGUGUGUGAAGAAGGCCCUCGGGUCGUAAAGCACUUUAAGUUGGGAGGAAGGGCUUACAGCGAAUACCUGUGAGUUUUGACGUUACCGACAGAAUAAGCACCGGCUAACUUCGUG
Molecule: ribosomal RNA, 484 nt
Filed under: Pseudomonas sp.
Lineage: Bacteria; Pseudomonadati; Pseudomonadota; Gammaproteobacteria; Pseudomonadales; Pseudomonadaceae
Also listed under: 1 other name
Description: bacterial SSU rRNA
Rfam family: Bacterial small subunit ribosomal RNA
Source: RNAcentral